UGCUGACUUCAGCAGCAAUAUACUAAAAUUGGAAUGAUACAGAGAAGAUUAGCAUGGCCCCUGCGCAAGGAUGACUCACAAAUUCAUGAAAUUUCCAUGUUUUU
This 104-nucleotide small nuclear RNA is filed under the name Octodon degus (degu). Lineage: Eukaryota; Metazoa; Chordata; Mammalia; Rodentia; Octodontidae. The record is from RNAcentral.